This 501-nucleotide ribosomal RNA is filed under the name uncultured bacterium. RNAcentral's name for it is "partial 16S ribosomal RNA". It matches the Rfam family "Bacterial small subunit ribosomal RNA", at positions 29 to 523 of the family's 1533-position model. The record is from RNAcentral.
AUUGAACGCUGGCGGCAUGCCUUACACAUGCAAGUCGAACGGCAGCACGGGUGCUUGCACCUGGUGGCGAGUGGCGAACGGGUGAGUAAUACAUCGGAACGUACCUUAUCGUGGGGGAUAACGCAGCGAAAGCUGUGCUAAUACCGCAUACGCCCUGAGGGGGAAAGCGGGGGAUCGAAAGACCUCGCGCGAUUAGAACGGCCGAUGCCUGAUUAGCUUGUUGGUGGGGUAAAAGCCCACCAAGGGGACGAUCAGUAGCUGCUCGGAGAGGACGAUCAGCCACACUGGGACUGAGACACGGCCCAGACUCCUACGGGAGGCAGCAGUGGGGAAUUUUGGACAAUGGGGGAAACCCUGAUCCAGCAAUGCCGCGUGAGUGAAGAAGGCCUUCGGGUUGUAAAGCUCUUUUGUCAGGGAAGAAACACCGGCUCUAACACAGUCCGGGAAUGACGGUACCUGAAGAAUAAGCACCGGCUAACUACGUGCCAGCCGCCGCAGUAA